AUUGAACGCUGGCGGCAUGCCUUACACAUGCAAGUCGAACGGCAGCGCGGGAGCAAUCCUGGCGGCGAGUGGCGAACGGGUGAGUAAUAUAUCGGAACGUGCCCAGUAGUGGGGGAUAGCCCGGCGAAAGCCGGAUUAAUACCGCAUGAGACCUGAGGGUGAAAGCGGGGGAUCGCAAGACCUCGCGCUAUUGGAGCGGCCGAUAUCAGAUUAGCUAGUUGGUGUGGUAAAGGCGCACCAAGGCGACGAUCCUUAGCUGGUCUGAGAGGAUGAUCAGCCACACUGGAACUGAGACACGGUCCAGACUCCUACGGGAGGCAGCAGUGGGGAAUAUUGGUCAAUGGAGGCAACUCUGAACCAGCCAUGCCGCGUGCAGGAUGACGGCCCUAUGGGUUGUAAACUGCUUUUGUACCAGAGAAAACCUAUCUACGUGUAGAUAGCUGAUAGUAUGGUAAG
RNAcentral lists this ribosomal RNA (456 nucleotides) under uncultured bacterium. Its description in RNAcentral is "bacterial SSU rRNA". It matches the Rfam family "Bacterial small subunit ribosomal RNA", at positions 30 to 484 of the family's 1533-position model. The record is from RNAcentral.